GACUAGUUCAAUGGUAGUGGUUUAUCAGAACUUAUAAACAUUAGUGUCACCAGAAGUUGGUAUACAACCCCCUACUGCUAAAUUUGACUGGCUUAAU
Y RNA from Callithrix jacchus (white-tufted-ear marmoset), 97 nucleotides. It matches the Rfam family "Y RNA". Rfam says of the family: Y RNAs are components of the Ro ribonucleoprotein particle (Ro RNP), in association with Ro60 and La proteins. Lineage: Eukaryota; Metazoa; Chordata; Mammalia; Primates; Cebidae. The record is from Ensembl.